UACAAGGGGAAAAAAGUAAAAAUCGUUUCUGCUUGCAGGAAAAACGAUUUUUAUUUUAUUUCCCCGCUCACACAUGAGCAUGUAGUGAUUUUCUUUAGAAAAUCAACGGAAUGCGAAUGUGUGUAGAAUUGCGCAAGUUGCUGCAAGCAACGGAGCAAUUCGA
Molecule: small RNA, 163 nt
Filed under: pig gut metagenome
Description: Clostridiales-1 RNA
Rfam family: Clostridiales-1 RNA
Source: RNAcentral